CCACAGCGAACGCUUCCUUCUUGCGCCGGAGCCGGCCUUGCUCACUGCGCAUGCUCAGUCCGCCGCGCCGCGCCGCGCCGCGCCGCCUCCCGGGAGCCUCCGAGCGGCCGCCUCCCCGGGUUUUGCCUGGAGCCAGACAGGGCGGGGACGGAGGGCGGCCAGGGCCGGAGCUAGCGGGCGGGCCGGAGUCUGGCCGGGGAGCUGUGGGAACCCAGCCACCAGGCUUCCCGGAGCGGGGAGGGGCCCGGCCGGCUCACGCCAGGCGCACGCGUGAGGGCGGCGAUGUGUAUCUGGCUCUGUGUUAGCAGGGGUCAGGGGGCUCACGAAUACUGUGAGGACCCAAGGGACCACGUUUGCGGAGGCGCCCUCGUUGGUUGUCGGCCCCGGCAGUGCAGGUGUUGGAACAAGGGGUCUUUAAAGAAAAGCGAAAUUAGGGUCAGCAACUCUCUAGCUUAAGUGCUUUUAGGUUCUUGAUGUGGCAUACCGGAGACUACAGCCCAAGACAGUGCUCUGAAUCCUGUUAUAACUUCAAAUGGGAAUUCAGGAGGAUUCCUUAAUCAACUGGUUGCUUCAUCAAAGAGAGUCCUUUGAAAUAAUAUGAUGCCUAGGAUUUGGUUCAGAAUAAUUCCAUCUUCGGUGGAAGAUGAGGGGACACGGAUUCGAGCCCUGGUCCAGGAAGAUCCCACAUGCUGCGGAGCAGCUAAGCCCGUGCGCCACAACUACUGAGCCUGCGCUCUAGAGCCCGCGAGCCACAACUACUGAAGCCCACACGCCUAGAGCCCAUGCUCCACAAGAGAAGCCGCCACAGUGAGAAACCCGCACACCGAAACGAAAAGUAACUCCCGCUCGCUGCAGCUAGAGAAAGCCCGCGCACAGCAACAAAGACCCAGCGCAGCCAUAAAUAAAUAAAUAAAUAAAUGAAUGAAUGAAUGAAUGAAUGAAUAAAUAAAUAAAUAAAUAAAUAAAUAAAUAAA
Molecule: long non-coding RNA, 974 nt
Organism: Balaenoptera ricei (Rice's whale)
Lineage: Eukaryota; Metazoa; Chordata; Mammalia; Artiodactyla; Balaenopteridae
Exons: 4
Source: RefSeq, a predicted model, not a curated record